AUGGGCGAAAGCCUGAUCCAGCAAUGCCGCGUGAGUGAUGAAGGCCUUAGGGUUGUAAAGCUCUUUUACCCGGGAUGAUAAUGACAGUACCGGGAGAAUAAGCUCCGGCUAACUCCGUGCCAGCAGCCGCGGUCAUAAGCGUGUGAUUCGCCCGGUACACAGGNU
Molecule: ribosomal RNA, 165 nt
Filed under: uncultured bacterium
Lineage: Bacteria
Description: partial 16S ribosomal RNA
Rfam family: Bacterial small subunit ribosomal RNA (bases 1-146)
Source: RNAcentral